Molecule: ribosomal RNA, 346 nt
Filed under: uncultured bacterium
Lineage: Bacteria
Description: partial 16S ribosomal RNA
Rfam family: Bacterial small subunit ribosomal RNA
Source: RNAcentral
GCUACGGGAGGCAGCAGUGAGGAAUAGUGGUCAAUGGACGAGAGUCUGAACCAGCCAAGUAGCGUGAAGGAUGACUGCCCUAUGGGGUGUAAACUUCGUUUAUAAAGGAAUAAAACGAGGCACGUGUGCCUUUUUGCAUGUACUUUAUGAAUAAGGAUAGGCUAACUCCGUGCCAGCAGCCGCGGUAAUACGGAGGAUCCGAGCGUUAUCCGGAUUGAUUGGGUUUCAAGGGAGCGUAGAUGGGUUGUUAAGUCAGUUGUGAAAGUUUGCGGCUCCACCGUAAAAUUGCACUUGAUACUGGCAGUCUUGAGUACAGUUGCGUUCGGCGGAAUUCGUGUUGUAUCGG